GAUGAACGCUAGCUACAGGCUUAACACAUGCAAGUCGAGGGGUAACGAGAGGAAAGCUUGCUUUCCUUGUCGACGACCGGCGCACGGGUGAGUAACGCGUAUCCAACCUGCCCCCAACUAGGGAAUAACCUUGCGAAAGUAAGACUAAUACCCUAUAAUUUCCUCAGAUGUCAUCUGACGAGGAAUAAAGAUUUAUCGGUUGUGGAUGGGGAUGCGUCUGAUUAGCUUGUUGGCGGGGUAACGGCCCACCAAGGCAACGAUCAGUAGGGGUUCUGAGAGGAAGGUCCCCCACAUUGGAACUGAGACACGGUCCAAACUCCUACGGGAGGCAGCAGCGAGGAAUAUUGGUCAAUGGGCGGAAGCCUGAACCAGCCAAGUAGCGUGCAGGAUGACGGCCCUAUGGGUUGUAAACUGCUUUCAUACAGGAAUAAAGUUAGCCACGUGUGGUUAUUUGUAGGUACUGUAUGAAUAAGGACCGGCUAAUUCCGUGCCAGCAGCCGCAGUAA
This 506-nucleotide ribosomal RNA is filed under the name uncultured bacterium. RNAcentral's name for it is "partial 16S ribosomal RNA". It matches the Rfam family "Bacterial small subunit ribosomal RNA", at positions 28 to 523 of the family's 1533-position model. The record is from RNAcentral.